CCUUCGGAGUGUCAAACAAACAGGAGUAGGAAUAUCCGAAACUGGGCACGAUGAACAAGGAA
Molecule: non-coding RNA, 62 nt
Filed under: unclassified sequences
Description: RAGATH-18 RNA
Rfam family: RAGATH-18 RNA
About the family: Actinobacteria, Firmicutes, Fusobacteria, Thermotogae (1 example). Nearby to self-cleaving ribozyme genes
Source: Rfam by way of RNAcentral